UAUCUCUGUAGAGUCUGCAUAUCAAUAAGCGGAGGAAAAGAAACUAACUAGGAUUCCCUUAGUAACGGCGAGUGAAGCGGGAAGAGCUCAAAUUUGAAAUCUUCAAGGUUUUACCUUGACGAAUUGUAGUUUAAAGAAGUGUUUUCUGUUGGUGUUUUGGUAAAAGUUCUUUGGAAUAGGACAUCAUAGAGGGUGAGAAUCCCGUAUUUGACCAUUAUUCCAGCGUUGUGAUACACUUUCAAAGAGUCGGAUUGUUUGGGAAUGCAGUCCAAAAUGGGUGGUAAAUUUCAUCUAAAGCUAAAUAUUGGCGAGAGAGGCCGAUAGCGAACAAGUACCGUGAGGGAAAGAUGAAAAGAACUUUGAAAAGAGAGUUAAACAGUACGUGAAAUUGUCAAAAGGGAAGCGUUUGACACCAGUGUUGUUUUCUCGAAAAUCAAUUAAAAAAGGCAGGAUUUUGUGUUGUAUUGACUUUAUCAGCUUUCUGCACUCUUUUCUUGUCUUUUUUAAUGCACUUUUCGUUUAACAAGUCAACAUCAAUUUCUUUUGUUGUAAAAGGGUCAUUGGAAGGUGGCUUUCUUUUCGGAGAAAGUGUUUAUAGCCUUUGGCCUCUGCAAUCGGAGAGAUUGAGGUCUGCAGCGUAGAUCCUUCGGGGUUAGAUACAUUUGUGCUAAGUUAUAGCCUUUCAUAGACAACUUGUUGACUAUGAUCAGUCAUGUAGCUUACUCGCUUAUGCUAUUUUACCUACGCUUAGGAUGUUGAUAGUCACAGCGUGUAC
RNAcentral lists this ribosomal RNA (775 nucleotides) under uncultured Neocallimastigales. RNAcentral's name for it is "partial large subunit ribosomal RNA". It matches the Rfam family "Eukaryotic large subunit ribosomal RNA", at positions 24 to 627 of the family's 3401-position model. The record is from RNAcentral. Lineage: Eukaryota; Fungi; Neocallimastigomycota; Neocallimastigomycetes; Neocallimastigales.